GACGAACGCUGGCGGCGUGCUUAACACAUGCAAGUCGAACGGAAAGGCCCUGCUUUUGUGGGGUGCUCGAGUGGCGAACGGGUGAGUAACACGUGAGUAACCUGCCCUUGACUUUGGGAUAACUUCAGGAAACUGGGGCUAAUACCGGAUAGGAGCUCCUGCUGCAUGGUGGGGGUUGGAAAGUUUCGGCGGUUGGGGAUGGACUCGCGGCUUAUCAGCUUGUUGGUGGGGUAGUGGCUUACCAAGGCUUUGACGGGUAGCCGGCCUGAGAGGGUGACCGGCCACAUUGGGACUGAGAUACGGCCCAGACUCCUACGGGAGGCAGCAGUGGGGAAUAUUGCACAAUGGGCGGAAGCCUGAUGCAGCAACGCCGCGUGCGGGAUGACGGCCUUCGGGUUGUAAACCGCUUUCGCCUGGGACGAAGUGUGAGUGACGGUAAUGGGUAAAGAAGCACCGGCUAACUACGUG
RNAcentral lists this ribosomal RNA (468 nucleotides) under uncultured bacterium. RNAcentral describes it as "partial 16S ribosomal RNA". It matches the Rfam family "Bacterial small subunit ribosomal RNA", at positions 28 to 507 of the family's 1533-position model. The record is from RNAcentral.